Molecule: ribosomal RNA, 253 nt
Filed under: uncultured bacterium
Lineage: Bacteria
Description: partial 16S ribosomal RNA
Rfam family: Bacterial small subunit ribosomal RNA
Source: RNAcentral
GACGAAGGUGGCAAGCGUUAUUCGGAUUUACUGGGCAUAAAGCGCGCGUAGGCGGCUUGGCAAGUCGGGGGUGAAAGCCCGCAGCUCAACUGCGGAACUGCCUUCGAUACUGCCGGGCUUGAGGGCGGGAGGGGUGAUUGGAACUCCAGGUGUAGCGGUGAAAUGCGUAGAUAUCAGGAGGAACACCGAUGGCGAAGGCAGGUCUCUGGGCUGACACUGACGCUCAUGCACGAAAGCGUGGGGAGCAAACAGG